Molecule: long non-coding RNA, 306 nt
Filed under: Nicotiana benthamiana
Lineage: Eukaryota; Viridiplantae; Streptophyta; Magnoliopsida; Solanales; Solanaceae
Description: long non-coding RNA (NBEN_LNC040281)
Source: RNAcentral
AGAAGCUCUGCCUUCUCUCUAACUUUCUCAUCUUUCUUCUCUGCUUCAUCGUCUUCUUUCUGCUGAUUCUGCGAAGGUAAGUAAACCUUGCAGACGGAGUUAUGGCAAAAAGGAGAGGUCGCCCAAGAAAAGAAUUAGUACCAAUUUAUGCAAGUGAUAUUUUCCCAAAAGCUGUUAUUACUGUUCCAAAGGAAGUUAUCACUGUUCCAUUGAAAUCUGCUGCAGAAACUGUUUCAUCGCCUCAUGCAAUAGUAGAUCCACAACCAUCUGUAGUAAAUGUGAGGGUUACUAACAACUCAGACCCUC